UAGGUUGAGCCUACGUCGGAUUAGCUAGUUGGUGGGGUAAAGGCCUACCAAAGCGACGAUCCGUAGCUGGUCUGAGAGGAUGACCAGCCACACUGGGACUGAGACACGGCCCAGACUCCUACGGGAGGCAGCAGUGGGGAAUCUUGGACAAUGGGGGAAACCCUGAUCCAGCGAUACCGUGUGUGUGAAGAAGGCCUUCGGGUUGUAAAGCAC
This 213-nucleotide ribosomal RNA is filed under the name Candidatus Rickettsiella viridis. RNAcentral's name for it is "partial 16S ribosomal RNA". It matches the Rfam family "Bacterial small subunit ribosomal RNA", at positions 221 to 433 of the family's 1533-position model. The record is from RNAcentral. Lineage: Bacteria; Pseudomonadati; Pseudomonadota; Gammaproteobacteria; Legionellales; Coxiellaceae.